GCCCUAGUAACGGCGAGUGAAGCGGCUACAGCUCAAAUUUGAAAUCUGGCCCUCUUUGGGGGUCCGAGUUGUAAUUUGCAGAGGAUGCUUUGGCAUUGGCGGCGGUCUAAGUUCCCUGGAACAGGACAUCGCAGAGGGUGAGAAUCCCGUACGUGGGCGCCUGCCUUUGCCGUGUAAAGCUCCUUCGACGAGUCGAGUUGUUUGGGAAUGCAGCUCUAAAUGGGAGGUAAAUUUCUCCUAAAGCUAAAUACCGGCCAGAGACCGAUAGCGCACAAGUAGAGUGAUCGAAAGAUGAAAAGUACUUUGGAAAGAGAGUCAAAUAGCACGUGAAAUUGUUGAAAGGGAAGCGCUUGCAGCCAGACUUGCCCGCAGUUGCUCACCCAGGCUCUCGCCUGGGGCACUCUUCUGCGAGCAGGCCAGCAUCAGUUUGGGCGGUCGGACAAAGGCCUCUGUCAUGUACCACCCUCCGGGGUGGCCUUAUAGGGGAGGCGUAAUGCGACCAGCCUGGACUGAGGUCCGCGCAUCUGCUAGGAUGCUGGCGUAAUGGCUGUAAGCGGCCCGUCUUGAAACACGGACCAAGGAGUCUAACAUCUAUGCGAGUGUUUGGGUGUCAAGCCCGGGCGCGUAAUGAAAGUGAACGGAGGUGGGAACCCCUCGGGGUGCACCAUCGACCGAUCCUGAUGUCUUCGGAUGGAUUUGAGUAAGAGCAUAGCUGUUGGGACCCGAAAGAUGGUGAACUAUGCUUGAAUAGGGUGAAGCCAGAGGAAACUCUGGUGGAGGCUCGCAGCGGUUCUGACGUGCAAAUCGAUCGUCAAAUUUGGGCAUAGGGGCGA
RNAcentral lists this ribosomal RNA (833 nucleotides) under Phaeodothis mori. RNAcentral describes it as "partial large subunit ribosomal RNA". It matches the Rfam family "Eukaryotic large subunit ribosomal RNA", at positions 77 to 926 of the family's 3401-position model. Lineage: Eukaryota; Fungi; Ascomycota; Dothideomycetes; Pleosporales; Didymosphaeriaceae. The record is from RNAcentral.